UCCGGAUUAGAGAUUUGGGGCUAGGUGUUCAACAUCAGUGAACACGAAAAUUUGAUGUUGAUAUUUUUAUUAAGAAAAUCUCAGAGCUUAAGGAAAACCUUUUCAACAAUAAAACAUUGAAACAAAAAUUAUACAAUUUCUAAGCAAAAAAAAAAAAAAAAAAAAAAAACAUUGGUGAAAUAUAAACAGUUCUUCUGACCUUCCAUCCUAGCACUCAGAGGGCGGAGACUUGAAAAAAAUUAAGAGAUAUUUCCUUACUAUAUCCAAGAAUUCCGAUAAUGGUGAUAGGACUGACAACAUAUCGAAAUCUUAGUUUGCAAAGUAUUUAAUUCCUAGAUAUAUCAUUUUGACAAAAUCAAUACUUUAAUUGAAGAAAGAAAAUUCAUUAUAAAUGGUGCACACAAUUAUACACAUAUGUACAUACAUAUGUGUGUAUUUAUAUGAACGAACACACGCACCUCAAGUUGGCUGUACGGUGAGGUGUUGGCGUAACUGCUGAUGAUGGGGCUGCUCCACUCUGGUGAGAGAACACUAUGUAUGUGGGAUUUUGUGUAUCCAAUAACCACAGACAGAAAUACUACAAUGAUCCAAAACAAAAACGAAAAAACAGAAACAGCAAACCGGCGAAUUAACGCUCAACACUGAAUGAACAACAACAACAAAAGCAACAGCAACGAUGAACAAACAACUACUCAGCAGCUUCAAAUGAAACAAAGAAGAAAGUCAGGGCAAAAGCAAUACACCACAACGACGUUGGCGACAACAAUAAUACCAGCAAAAGCGACGAAAAAACUUCGAUGUUUCAUACUUUCUUAAUCAUCUUAUCGUCUUUUACUUGUAUGUACUUAUAUAUAGCGCAGAACCCUUGUCCAUCAGUAUGUAGUCAGUGUUCCUCCAAAAGCCAGCCAUGGGAGUAGCAUGUACUACAUAUACAUAAAAAAGUAUGUGUGUAUGUAGCCAUUAGUAUGUGCAUUUAGCCAAAAGCAUGGAAGAAAAACCAAGACAGACCGAGGGACAAACGGACCAUUUAUUUACCCCACCAACACAACAUAUGAUUCAUGACAAAUUCAUGGGUACAUACAAAGGGAGGCUAACCAUUGGGAGUUUAGUUGGUUAUAAAUAUAAUUCAACAGUAGUCCACACCUA
This is a long non-coding RNA of Stomoxys calcitrans (stable fly), 1146 nucleotides long. RefSeq lists it as uncharacterized. The transcript is spliced from 3 exons. The record is from RefSeq and is a predicted model, not a curated record. Lineage: Eukaryota; Metazoa; Arthropoda; Insecta; Diptera; Muscidae.